AUGUGCAAUGCUGAAUUUGUAUGGUUUGAAAUGUAUGGAAACAGAGAAUUGAUAUGGUCGCAGGGUCUAUUCAUGUUAUUUGUUGACUGGUUUUUUCGCUAUGUGCAUAUCUGUAUUAUAACGUUUUUUCUGUUUUGUAAAUGGAAAGUUUUAAUGUGUUUUUGUAUUGUAUAUGAUGUAUGUAUUUGGCCAUAG
Vicia faba (fava bean) is the source of this 195-nucleotide non-coding RNA. Lineage: Eukaryota; Viridiplantae; Streptophyta; Magnoliopsida; Fabales; Fabaceae. The record is from the annotation of a GenBank genome assembly.